This 227-nucleotide ribosomal RNA is filed under the name uncultured bacterium. Its description in RNAcentral is "partial 16S ribosomal RNA". It matches the Rfam family "Bacterial small subunit ribosomal RNA", at positions 15 to 238 of the family's 1533-position model. The record is from RNAcentral.
GAUCCUGACUCAGGAUGAACGCUAGCGGCAGGCUUAACACAUGCAAGUCGAGGGGCAGCGCGGAGUAGCAAUACUCUGGCGGCGACCGGCGGAAGGGUGCGUAACACGUGAGCGACUUGCCCGUCACAGGGAGAUAACCGCUGGAAACGGCGACUAAUAUCCCAUAUGAUGGCGAUCUGCACGGAUUGUCAUUGAAAGAUUCAUCGGUGACGGAUAGGCUCGCGGGG